Molecule: ribosomal RNA, 464 nt
Filed under: uncultured bacterium
Lineage: Bacteria
Description: partial 16S ribosomal RNA
Rfam family: Bacterial small subunit ribosomal RNA
Source: RNAcentral
CUACGGGUGGCACCAGUGGGGAAUAUUGGACAAUGGGGGAAACCCUGAUCCAGCAAUGCCGCGUGUGUGAAGAAGGCCUGCGGGUUGUAAAGCACUUUCGGUUGGGAGGACUGCUUCUAGCACUAAUAUUGUUGGAAGUUGACGUUACCUUCAGAAGAAGCACCGGCUAACUCCGUGCCAGCAGCCGCGGUAUACGGAGGGUGCAAGCGUUAAUCGGAAUUACUGGGCGUAAAGCGGGCGUAGGCGGCUAGAUCAGUCGGGUGUGAAAGCCCCGGGCUUAACCUGGGAACUGCAUCCGAUACUGUCUAGCUUGAGUACAGGAGAGGAGAGUGGAAUUCCACAUGUAGCGGUGAAAUGCGUAGAUAUGUGGAGGAACACCAAUGGCGAAGGCAGCUCUCUGGCCUGAUACUGACGCUGAGGUGCGAAAGCGUGGGGAGCAAACAGGAUUAGAUACCCUAGUAGUC